AAAACGGCCCUUUUAAGGGCCAUCCCCUCAUCAUCAGUUUUGUAA
Non-coding RNA from Macrostomum lignano, 45 nucleotides. Lineage: Eukaryota; Metazoa; Platyhelminthes; Macrostomidae. The record is from Rfam.